GAUCAGUGCGUGGACAGGGUUGCCCUCCUUUCAAGAAGUUCUAGGGGGAUCUGUCUCCUUGCCUUUUCUCCUUUCUGGAGGCCACCCGCAUGCCUUGGCUCAUGGUAUCCUCGUCCUUCUCAAGCCCAGCAGUGUGCCAGCCUCCAGUCUAUUUCUCUACUUCCGAGGUAACGUUUCCUCUUUCUGCUUUUGACAUCGCAGCUCAUCUGUUGCAAGGACCCUUGUGAUUCCCGGAUAGUCCAGGAUAACCGCCCUGUCUCACAAUUCGUCAUUAUUCACACAUACCAAGUCCCUUUUGCCUUAUGAGGUAACAUGCGCCCAAGUUCAGGGACUAGUGUGUGGACAGCUUCGGAGGCCACCGUUCGGCCCCCCAUGAGUCUACCAAGUGGGGUUGCCAGAUUUAACAGUUACGGAUCUAAAACGUACAAAUUACAAAAACAAAUGGUUGCAUUUGAAUUUCAGAUAAGCAACAAAUAAUUUUGUACUUUAAGUAUGUCCUACCGAGUAUCUGGAUCAUACUUAUAAAAAUGUUUAUUGUGUAUCUGAGAUUCAGAUUAAACGGGGCCUUCUGCAUUUUUUCUGCCAAUUCUACCUUCAACGCCAACAGCAAGAGCCUGAUCUCAUGGGGACACCUCCUUCCGGUUGAUCCCGCACUCUGAUCCUUGUCUCUUCAAUAGAGCAAGAUUACCAAUUACUCAAAUAUGCUUCUCAGAAACUUCCCAUUUAGCUUCUCAAACUCCCAGCAUUAGGGAAAUAUCUCACAGGCAACGACGACCCACGUGCUAGGCUCGGCUCUCUGAACACUUCUCUCACCAGGAUCCUAGUUCAUCAGGUCUAAUUUUAAAUUUCCGGCCAAAAUGACCGAUGCCAUCUCUGUUGGUUUCUCUCUUUUUUUGUGGGGGCCUCUGCCUGGGGAAAGCUCAGCUUCUUUUCCCGCACCCAGCAUCAGCAACUGUUCCCGGGGGCAAAGUGGCCAAUGACUCCUGGGUCACUGUCCGCUGCUCAGCUCCUUUUGGAACACUGAAGGCCCGGUGCUGCUCGUUUCAGCCACCCUCUGAUCCCCUCAGCUGCGGUUUUCAUAGUUGACCAGGCUGGAGUGCAGUUUGGCUGCACGCCCUCCAGUCGGGUGUUCUGGUAGCACGACUGGUGAUUUCCCAGCAUCAUCACGAGGGCCAAAGUGGUUGGUGGGAGCAGCAGCCCAGGUGGACAGAAUGGAGGUGAUGUGGUGACAUCCCAGUGAGAAAGUGUGCUUGUCCACUGGGCGUCAGAGACCUUGGCGGGGAUAUUUGUCCUGACACUGAGCCAAGCAGGCCCCUCUGAACAAUGGGAGGUUGGCAAGCGUCCCUUCCUGCACACGUGGCUUUCCUUUCAGGGAAAGUGAGUGAAAGCCGGGCCCAGGCUGUCCAAAACUGGCCUUGGAGCUUCAUCCUGGGCACAAUCAUUUAAAGAAGGAGAAUUUUAAUGUAAUGACUUUGAAGCUUUUGCCUUCCUGCGAUUGCCCUCUUCUAGCAGCAAAGACAUGGUCACUGCUUCUCUAGCAAGAAGUCAGUUGUGGCCAGCGCGGGGAUGGGUGUGAUUGGAUAUCCAAGGUCAAAGUAUUGCAGGUGGUGUCAUGGAAUAGAAGAAAGAUAUCGUGUCGAACUAAGGAACUCUGAGUAAAGUAUGGACGUUAGUUGCUGAUAAUGUAUCCAUUGUGGUUCGUUAGUUGUGACAAGUGUCGCAGUUGUGACAAGUGUCGCACGAUGAGAAUACUAUAACAUGAUUCUAAGAUAUCAGAGUUUUUACUGCUUAAAUAUAUGGACAUUCUCGGUACUCUUCUGUAACUAUUUAUGGAGCACCUACUCCAGAAAUGAGGAAAGACACUUCCUCAGGACGUCUCUGUUGAGGGAAGUGGAAGCAAGAUUGCGUGCCAGUCACGGGAGUCAGAUUUGACCGGCAUCAAAGGAAUUAGCCAGCAACGUGACUGCAGUGAUACCCUCUACACUCCAGGGGCUUCCCUCCAAUUUCCAGCCGACUAGAGACUGGCGAGGCCACCUGGCUAGUCCUGGCCCACAAUAGGUGAGCAUAAAUGACUUCUGUUUCUUCCACGAUGAGACACUGAAUAGCCAGGGUGCUGCCUUCUUUUCCCCUGCCACAGCACCCCCGGGGAGCCACAUGGUGAUCUGGUGGCAUCACAAGAUGGACAAACGUGGAUCCCAAAUUAGUGCUUGGAGGAGAGCCCAGCCGAUAGGCGUGGCCAUCACACAACUGAGCCAUGGACUGUCAUCCUCGCAUCUUGAGUUUUAUCUGCUAGUGCAGCAGAACGGAGCUUAUCCUCACUAGAACCACCCUCAGAGUCCAGCUCAAGCUACUCUACAGUGUGCCUAGGCAGACCAAGGGAGCCCCUGUGGUGUCUUCUGACAUGUGUCUGUUGGAUCUCUUCAAUGCCAUAAAACUCUAAGAUGACCCUGCGUCUCACACACCCCUUGGAGGACCUGACAGCCUUUUACAAAGAUUCCCUGAACGUGAAAAUGGAUGGAAGAGAGAGCCUCAGAGAUCGACCUUUCGGGAUUCUCAUGCUUCACAAAAGAGCGAAGAAGAAACCUUAGACAUUUCGGUCAGAAAAAUAAGGCGGGGGUCGAAAGAGAUAACUCUGGGAAGAGUGUUUGAAUUUUCAGGAUCAUCGUAGACAUUGUGUUCAGUAACAAUGAAACAAUUGUGUAGAAUGAGUUCCCACAGGCAAAACUUGGUUUAGGUAUCAGAUCAGGGGCCAGGACACUAACUCAGACACCACAUGGAUUUUUAAAAUUAUACUUACUUCUCAGUGGUGCCCCCAAAUAUUUUGAUCAACUCUACAAUUUCAAAGCAACCGUAGAUGUGAGUCCUGGAUAUGGUAGAGUCUCGGGGAAUGUUUCAAAAACAACAAGAUCAUUAUGGAAUCAAGACAUUUUAAAGAUGAUCUUCAGGUAUCAUAAACUUCUGUAAUUGGAAAAAUAAAGCAGCUCUCGCCAACAGCCCUGAUGGUAGGUCAGUAGGGUUCCCAUCUUAAGUGCCUACAAAACUCAGGGGAGAGAACCUGGAGAAAAUACAAGGAACAGCCCAAGAAAUCAUGACCACGAGUAGAAUUUCAUAAGGCUGUAAUAGACACAGCAGUUUGGUACUUAAAAGAGUGAACUGAAAUAAACCCACAAUUUUUUUUUAUCAUAGAAGAUAAUAAUCACAAUUAACAUUUGUAUAGCAUUUUGUAAAAAAAAAAAAAAGUAUUUUCCGGUAAAUCAUGCCAUUUAUUUCUUCCAACAAAUGUCUGGGGUGGGUUAAAUUAUUAGUUCUGGUUGCAGUAAAGAAAACGAGAGGCAGUGGAUACUGUUCCCUUUCUAUUGUAGGAAUAUU
This is a long non-coding RNA of Panthera uncia (snow leopard), 3369 nucleotides long. RefSeq lists it as uncharacterized. The transcript is spliced from 4 exons. The record is from RefSeq and is a predicted model, not a curated record. Lineage: Eukaryota; Metazoa; Chordata; Mammalia; Carnivora; Felidae.